AGAAUCAACGCUGGCGGCGUGCCUCAGACAUGCAAGUCGAACGAUUAAACUUGCCUUCGGGCAAGAUAUAAAGUGGCGCACGGGUGAGUAACGCGUAAGUAAUCUACCUUCGAGUGGGGAAUAACGUCCGGAAACGGACGCUAAUACCGCAUAAUGCAGCGGCAUCGCAAGAUGACAGUUGUUAAAGGAUUUAUUUCGCUUGAAGAGGAGCUUGCGGCAGAUUAGCUAGUUGGUAAGGUAACGGCUUACCAAGGCUACGAUCUGUAACCGGUCUAAGAGGACGGUCGGUCACACUGACACUGAUAACGGGUCAGACUCCUACGGGAGGCAGCAGUC
Molecule: ribosomal RNA, 336 nt
Filed under: uncultured soil bacterium
Lineage: Bacteria
Description: bacterial SSU rRNA
Rfam family: Bacterial small subunit ribosomal RNA
Source: RNAcentral